Corythoichthys intestinalis (scribbled pipefish) is the source of this 579-nucleotide long non-coding RNA. RefSeq lists it as uncharacterized. The transcript has 3 exons. Lineage: Eukaryota; Metazoa; Chordata; Actinopteri; Syngnathiformes; Syngnathidae. The record is from RefSeq and is a predicted model, not a curated record.
GCAAGCAAUCAGUCUGAAAAUAUUGAUGGACAAGCGGCUUGUAAAAUGAAUGAAUUUGUAGAUAUUUCUAUUGAAAUGGAUCAAUUAUCUCCAUUUAACAUACAUCUGUUUUUUUUUUUUUUUUAAAGAAAAUGGUUGGCCUGGAGAUACAGAAUUAUUAAAAAGUGUUGGGCAGUCGAAGGUUUGACACAGUUUACACAUGGAGAAAUGAGAACGACAGCGACAGUUUGAACAGCUACAUAAAUGGCUUGAGAAGGACCAGUCAGCCCGUCGAGGGGGAACUAUUCACAAUGAGGAAAACGCGACGAAGAGAGCGGCAAAAUGUCAUUGUUUCUGUCUCUUUACUUCCAUAUUUUUACAGGAUAUUCUUUUUAUCCAAGUAUUUUCCCCAAUUGCUAAAUAAAUGGCAUGGUCAAGACAAAUAACAAUCUUGUGCUAAAUGGAAUAUGAAAUAAUAAAAAUCCAUUUAUUCAAGACGACAUGGCAAAAUUACUACAUAAUGGUCAAAACUGUCGACUUCACCUUUACUGUCGCACCUCCCGAACGAUAUUUUAUGACACCUAAAUCGGACAUAUGUCA